RNAcentral lists this unclassified non-coding RNA (346 nucleotides) under soil metagenome. RNAcentral describes it as "partial contains 5.8S ribosomal RNA, internal transcribed spacer 2, and large subunit ribosomal RNA". The stretch from base 1 to 120 matches the Rfam family "5.8S ribosomal RNA", at positions 35 to 154 of the family's 154-position model. The record is from RNAcentral.
GAUGAAGAACGCAGCGAAAUGCGAUAAGUAAUGUGAAUUGCAGAAUUCAGUGAAUCAUCGAAUCUUUGAACGCACAUUGCGCCCGCCAGUAUUCUGGCGGGCAUGCCUGUUCGAGCGUCAUUUCAACCCUCAAGCCCUCGGGUUUGGUGUUGGGGAUCGGCGAGCCUUUCUGGCAAGCCGGCCCCGAAAUCUAGUGGCGGUCUCGCUGCAGCCUCCAUUGCGUAGUAGUAAAACCCUCGCAACUGGAACGCGGCGCGGCCAAGCCGUUAAACCCCCAACUUCUGAAUGUUGACCUCGGAUCAGGUAGGAAUACUCGCUGAACUUAAGCAUAUCAAUAAGCGGAGGA